RNAcentral lists this ribosomal RNA (255 nucleotides) under uncultured bacterium. RNAcentral's name for it is "partial 16S ribosomal RNA". It matches the Rfam family "Bacterial small subunit ribosomal RNA", at positions 524 to 777 of the family's 1533-position model. The record is from RNAcentral.
UACGAAGGGGGCUAGCGUUGUUCGGAAUCACUGGGCGUAAAGCGCACGUAGGCGGAUUGUUAAGUCGGGGGUGAAAUCCUGAGGCUCAACCUCAGAACUGCCUUCGAUACUGGCAAUCUCGAGUCCGGAAGAGGUUGGUGGAACAGCUAGUGUAGAGGUGAAAUUCGUAGAUAUUAGCUAGAACACCAGUGGCGAAGGCGGCCAACUGGUCCGGUACUGGACGCUGAGGUGCGAAAGCGUGGGGAGCAAACAGGG